UUUACAUGAUGGAUUAUAGAACAGGGCUGCUGUUUUUAUCUGUUUGCUGGGCAGGUGUUGAUGGUCAGACUCUGAUAGAAUCUGAACCAGUAGUUAAAGAGUCUGGAGAAUCCCACAGACUGACCUGUACAGCUUCUGGAUUCUCAUUCAGCAGCUACUGGAUGGGCUGGGUCAGACAGGCUCCUGGAAAAGGACUGGAAUGGGUUGCCACUUUUGAUAGUGGCAGUGGUAGCAGCAAGUACUACUCUCAGUCAGUUCAAGGCCGGUUUACUAUAUCCAGAGACAACAGCAAACAGCAGGUGUAUCUGCUGAUGAACAGUCUGAAGACUGAGGACACAGCAGUGUAUUACUGUGUCAGAGAGAAACACACUGACUGAAGCUGGUUGAGCAGCUGUACAACAUCUUUCAUGCUGAUAUAAAAAGCUGCAAGGAUUUUAGAC
Molecule: non-coding RNA, 440 nt
Organism: Melanotaenia boesemani (Boeseman's rainbowfish)
Lineage: Eukaryota; Metazoa; Chordata; Actinopteri; Atheriniformes; Melanotaeniidae
Source: the annotation of a RefSeq genome assembly